RNAcentral lists this ribosomal RNA (253 nucleotides) under uncultured bacterium. Its description in RNAcentral is "partial 16S ribosomal RNA". It matches the Rfam family "Bacterial small subunit ribosomal RNA", at positions 524 to 776 of the family's 1533-position model. The record is from RNAcentral.
UACGUAGGGACCGAGCGUUGUCCGGAUUCAUUGGGCGUAAAGAGCUCGUAGGCGGCUGUUCAAGUCGAACGUGAAAACUCGGAGCUCAACUCCGAGCCUGCGUUCGAGACUGGAUGGCUAGAGUCUGGUAGGGGGAUCUGGAAUUCCUGGUGUAGCGGUGGAAUGCGCAGAUAUCAGGAGGAACACCGGUGGCGAAGGCGGGAUCCUGGGCCAGUACUGACGCUGAGGUGCGAAAGCGUGGGGAGCAAACAGG